GCUCAUUAAAUCAGUUAUCGUUUAUUUGAUAGUACCUUACUACUUGGAUAACCGUGGUAAUUCUAGAGCUAAUACAUGCUAAAAACCCCAACUUCGGGAGGGGUGUAUUUAUUAGAUAAAAAACCAAUGCCCUUCGGGGCUCCUUGGUGAUUCAUGAUAACUUCUCAGAUCGCAUGGCUUUACGCCGGCGACGGUUCAUUCAAAUUUCUGCCCUAUCAACUUUCGAUGGUAAGGUAUUGGCUUACCAUGGUUUCAACGGGUAACGGGGAAUUAGGGUUCGAUUCCGGAGAGGGAGCCUGAGAAACGGCUACCACAUCCAAGGAAGGCAGCAGGCGCGCAAAUUACCCAAUUCCGAUACGGAGAGGUAGUGACAAUAAAUACUGAUACAGGGCUCUUUUGGGUCUUGUAAUUGGAAUGAGUACAAUUUAAACCUCUUAACGAGGAACAAUUGGAGGGCAAGUCUGGUGCCAGCAGCCGCGGUAAUUCCAGCUCCAAUAGCGUAUAUUAAAGUUGUUGCAGUUAAAAAGCUCGUAGUUGAACCUUUGGCCUGGCUGGCAGGUCCGCCUCACCGCGUGCACUUGUCCGGCCGGGCCUUUUCUUCUGGAGAACCGCAUGCCCUUCACUGGGUGUGUUGGGGACCAGGACUUUUACUUUGAAAAAAUUAGAGUGUUCAAAGCAGGCCUUUGCUCGAAUACGUUAGCAUGGAAUAAUAGAAUAGGACGUGCGGUCCUAUUUUGUUGGUUUCUAGGACCGCCGUAAUGAUUAAUAGGGACAGUCGGGGGCAUCAGUAUUCAAUUGUCAGAGGUGAAAUUCUUGGAUUUAUUGAAGACUAACUACUGCGAAAGCAUUUGCCAAGGAUGUUUUCAUUAAUCAGUGAACGAAAGUUAGGGGAUCGAAGACGAUCAGAUACCGUCGUAGUCUUAACCAUAAACUAUGCCGACUAGGGAUCGGGCGGUGUUUCUAUUGUGACCCGCUCGGCACCUUACGAGAAAUCAAAGUGUUUGGGUCUG
RNAcentral lists this ribosomal RNA (1010 nucleotides) under Paraphaeosphaeria brachiariae. RNAcentral's name for it is "SSU rRNA". It matches the Rfam family "Eukaryotic small subunit ribosomal RNA", at positions 96 to 1116 of the family's 1831-position model. Lineage: Eukaryota; Fungi; Ascomycota; Dothideomycetes; Pleosporales; Didymosphaeriaceae. The record is from RNAcentral.